This 137-nucleotide small nucleolar RNA is filed under the name Patiria miniata (bat star). RNAcentral's name for it is "small nucleolar RNA SNORA57". It matches the Rfam family "Small nucleolar RNA SNORA57". From Rfam's summary of the family: U99 belongs to the H/ACA class of snoRNAs which are thought to guide the sites of modification of uridines to pseudouridines, the target for this family is unknown. Lineage: Eukaryota; Metazoa; Echinodermata; Asteroidea; Valvatida; Asterinidae. The record is from Rfam by way of RNAcentral.
CCUUCUAUCUUGGCAUCCCUGUGUUGACUCUGUACGCAUUGGGUGUAUGAAUGAAGGGAAAUCAAAUUGAUGCUGACCAGCCUUCGGUGCCGGGGUUUGACAGUACCCCACUGCCAUCCUCUAGCAGCAUUACAAAA